AUGGAAGAAAAAUACCCAAUAGUGCUAAUCAGUCAGAAUUAUCUCCCUGAUCUGGCCUUCAGAUUAGGCUCAGUAUAUGUUCAAUAUGAUGUUUUCUUUCAUUCUUUCCCCUUUCUCAGGUACAUGGGACCGAUCAUUGGGAAUUAUGAGUUUCAAGCAAUCAGUGGCACACAAUGCAGUUCAUGCGGUGGUUGCCCUUCUGAUGGUAAUUCCAAAGCUAUUUCUCCUUCACGCCAUCUCCAUUUUUCUCAAGAGGUUGAAAGAGGGGAUUCAAGGAGCAGAAUCAGACCUGAAGCUCCAUUCAUAGAAAGAGAGCUCAACAUUCAUUUUGUAACUUUUAACUGGAUACUUCCAAGUUCCUUACAUUAUGAACAAAAUAUCAUUGUUCUUCUGUGCUUUCUCCUUAUUUAGAAAGUCACUAUUAAAACCUGUAACAUGAGGAUUUCUGCAUUAUUAACUGUUACUGAACAUUGACCACAUCCAAGUUUAUGGAGGCAAGUUGAUUGGAAAGAGAGCUCAACAUUCAUUCUGCCUCUGUAACUUUUAACUGGAUACUUCAAGUUCCUUACAUGAUGAACAAAAUAUCAUUGUUCUUCUGUGCCUUCUCCUUAUUUAGAAAGUCACUAUUAAAACCUGUAACAUGAGGAUUUCUGCAUUAUUAACUGUUACUGAACAUUGACCACAUCCAAGUUUAUUUAUUUAUUUAUUUAUUUACAAUAUUUUUUAGCCGCACCAUUGCCAAUGGCUUCUGGGCGGCGUACAACAUUAAAACCUAAAAACAUUAAAAACAUUUUAAGAAACAGUAUAAAAUACCAUAUAUUAAAAUAUUUCUUAAAACAAUUAAAACAUUAAAAGUAAUUAAUUAAGUUUAAUUAAGUUUAUGGAGGCAAGUUGAUUUCUACUCUUGUCUGUGGGGAUGACAGUCCAGCCCUAUGUGUCUAUGCAUGCAAGAAGCAGGCUGAACGGCAAGCAAGCAUCAUCGCUUGCCCUACAAGCAUCACCACCCAUAUUCACAGAUACCACAUCUGAAUAGUCCAGGGAAACUAUAAGUGGACCAUGCAGUACUGAAGAUGGUUUCCUCUCCUUUUCCAGGAACUAUUAUUUUCACAGAUUGAAGGGAAUACCCUACAGGCUUUAAAUGCAAAUACACAGCCUGGCGAAGCAACUAGAUGUAAGGAUGGAGGAGACACGCCAUCAGUCCAGAAUGCCUCCCCACAAGUGAGCAUAGCACACAAGAAAUAUUACUCUGGAAAUGAUCCCCAGAAAGUAAGAUCUAGGUAAAUGAUACGUGAAAGAUUCACUAGUCUAACAGUGCUGAGAGCCUGAUCGGAUAUUCUAUAAGUCCCCGUUCCACAACUACCAUUCUCUAGAUUCUAGUACUACAUAGACUCCCCAUUUGCAUUGGGAUAGA
Pogona vitticeps (central bearded dragon) is the source of this 1411-nucleotide long non-coding RNA. The record is from Ensembl. NCBI's taxonomy places the organism in Eukaryota, Metazoa, Chordata, Lepidosauria, Squamata, Agamidae.